RNAcentral lists this ribosomal RNA (440 nucleotides) under uncultured bacterium. RNAcentral describes it as "bacterial SSU rRNA". It matches the Rfam family "Bacterial small subunit ribosomal RNA", at positions 338 to 795 of the family's 1533-position model. The record is from RNAcentral.
CCUACGGGGGGCAGCAGUGGGGAAUAUUGCACAAUGGGCGAAAGCCUGAUGCAGCAACGCCGCGUGAGUGAAGAAGGCCUUCGGGUCGUAAAACUCUGUCCUAAGGGAAGAAUAAUGACGGUACCUUAGGAGGAAGCCCCGGCUAACUACGUGCCAGCAGCCGCGGUAAUACGUAGGGGGCGAGCGUUAUCCGGAAUCACUGGGCGUAAAGGGUGCGUAGGCGGUCGAGCAAGCCAGGGGUGAAAGGCUACGGCAUAACCGUAGUAAGCCUUUGGAACUGUUUGGCUUGAGUGCAGGAGAGGAGAGUGGAAUUCCUAGUGUAGCGGUGAAAUGCGUGGAUAUUAGGAGGAACACCAGUGGCGAAGGCGACUCUCUGGACUGUAACUGACGCUGAGGCACGAAAGCGUGGGGAGCGAACAGGAUUAGAUACCCCUGUAGUC